RNAcentral lists this ribosomal RNA (938 nucleotides) under Mycolicibacterium fortuitum. RNAcentral describes it as "bacterial SSU rRNA". It matches the Rfam family "Bacterial small subunit ribosomal RNA", at positions 59 to 1011 of the family's 1533-position model. Lineage: Bacteria; Bacillati; Actinomycetota; Actinomycetes; Mycobacteriales; Mycobacteriaceae. The record is from RNAcentral.
CAGUCGACGGAAGUGCUCUUCGGAGUGACUCGAGUGGCGAACGGGUGAGUAACACGUGGGUGAUCUGCCCUGCACUUUGGGAUAAGCCUGGGAAACUGGGUCUAAUACCGGAUAGGACCAUGGCCUUCAUGGUUUGUGGUGGAAAGCUUUUGCGGUGUGGGAUGGGCCCGCGGCCUAUCAGCUUGUUGGUGGGGUAAUGGCCUACCAAGGCGACGACGGGUAGCCGGCCUGAGAGGGUGUCCGGCCACACUGGGACUGAGAUACGGCCCAGACUCCUACGGGAGGCAGCAGUGGGGAAUAUUGCACAAUGGGCGCAAGCCUGAUGCAGCGACGCCGCGUGAGGGAUGACGGCCUUCGGGUUGUAAACCUCUUUCAAUAGGGACGAAGCGCAAGUGACGGUACCUAUAGAAGAAGCACCGGCCAACUACGUGCCAGCAGCCGCGGUAAUACGUAGGGUGCGAGCGUUGUCCGGAAUUACUGGGCGUAAAGAGCUCGUAGGUGGUUUGUCGCGUUGUUCGUGAAAACUCACAGCUUAACUGUGGGCGUGCGGGCGAUACGGGCAGACUGGAGUACUGCAGGGGAGACUGGAAUUCCUGGUGUAGCGGUGGAAUGCGCAGAUAUCAGGAGGAACACCGGUGGCGAAGGCGGGUCUCUGGGCAGUAACUGACGCUGAGGAGCGAAAGCGUGGGGAGCGAACAGGAUUAGAUACCCUGGUAGUCCACGCCGUAAACGGUGGGUACUAGGUGUGGGUUUCCUUCCUUGGGAUCCGUGCCGUAGCUAACGCAUUAAGUACCCCGCCUGGGGAGUACGGCCGCAAGGCUAAAACUCAAAGGAAUUGACGGGGGCCCGCACAAGCGGCGGAGCAUGUGGAUUAAUUCGAUGCAACGCGAAGAACCUUACCUGGGUUUGACAUGCACAGGACGCCGGCAGAGAUGUCG